Molecule: transfer RNA, 72 nt
Filed under: Salmo salar (Atlantic salmon)
Lineage: Eukaryota; Metazoa; Chordata; Actinopteri; Salmoniformes; Salmonidae
Rfam family: tRNA
About the family: Transfer RNA (tRNA) molecules are approximately 80 nucleotides in length. Their secondary structure includes four short double-helical elements and three loops (D, anti-codon, and T loops). Further hydrogen bonds mediate the characteristic L-shaped molecular structure. tRNAs have two regions of fundamental functional importance: the anti-codon, which is responsible for specific mRNA codon recognition, and the 3' end, to which the tRNAs corresponding amino acid is attached (by aminoacyl-tRNA synthetases). tRNAs cope with the degeneracy of the genetic code in two manners: having more than one tRNA (with a specific anti-codon) for a particular amino acid; and 'wobble' base-pairing, i.e. permitting non-standard base-pairing at the 3rd anti-codon position.
Source: Rfam by way of RNAcentral
UCCCGCGUGGCUCAGUUCGUAGAGCAUGGUGUUUGCAACGCCAGGGUUGUGGGUUUGAUUCCCACGGGGGAC